Molecule: long non-coding RNA, 521 nt
Organism: Cygnus olor (mute swan)
Lineage: Eukaryota; Metazoa; Chordata; Aves; Anseriformes; Anatidae
Exons: 3
Source: RefSeq, a predicted model, not a curated record
AGCAUAUAUGAGAGGAAACCUGGGGAGGAACAAUGGACGUUGGUACUUCAGAGCACAGCAUCAGCUGCAGUCCACAAGCAGGAGAGGAAAAGCCACUGUGGCAGAAGAUACACUGCAGCUAGGGUAACAGCAGCGAUGGACGGAGAGCUGCACUGGAGGAUGUCCUGAGAAAUGACUUUAAAUAAUGGUUAGAAGAUAUGCAAAACGAAAUAAAGUGGAGCUUCAAUAAAAAAUCCAGUGUUGUACUGAACUUAACAUGGAAGAAACUUGAAGGUGGAUAAUCGAUGCAGUGAUAAAUACACAUCCAUUUCUUCAUUGUUCUCUUGUGUAAAAGUGGAUGCUGUCUCAUGGAGAGCUCGUGUUUUAGCUUGUAAAACUUGCUCACACACUGGAUGGGAGUUAGGAAACCACAGAUACAGGGUGAGAUUGUAAAACAGAAAAUUCCCUGCCGUGGAAGCUAGUCUUAGGAGGAAACUACUCCCAUAAGGGUCUGCAGAAUGCGUUUCCACAGAAGAAAAGAU